RNAcentral lists this transfer RNA (73 nucleotides) under Pteropus alecto (black flying fox). It matches the Rfam family "tRNA". Rfam says of the family: Transfer RNA (tRNA) molecules are approximately 80 nucleotides in length. Their secondary structure includes four short double-helical elements and three loops (D, anti-codon, and T loops). The record is from Rfam by way of RNAcentral. Lineage: Eukaryota; Metazoa; Chordata; Mammalia; Chiroptera; Pteropodidae.
GGCUACACAGUGUAGUGAUUAGCACAUCUCCUUUACAUGCAGAUGAUCUGGGUUCACACCCCAGGUGGAGCCA